GCCCGCCAUCCGCCGUUACCUCCCUUCUGCCUAGAGCUGGGAAUACUCCAAUCCCAGUGUACGGGCGCGGGGCACUGCCCGAGGAGCUCUAUGACCUGAGCGCCGCAGCCGCAGCCCGAAGUGGGCCGCCUGAACGGCGCUGCGCGGCGCAGGGGUUUUGUUUGCGGUUUUCAGUGUAAAAUCACGGCCCGACGACAAACGCAACCGCGUUUCUCACUUCACGAGGUCACAAGCGGUGCUAAAGCGUGCUUAAGGGGAUUUGGACUGUCCCUGGCAGGAAGCUGGCCUUCCUCCUUGGAUCCAAAUAUCUACGCCCACUCCUUGCCAGUGAUCAGCAUGGUUUGACGAGACGCAUGCUCGUUAUUGGAAAAACCCGAACAACCCAGCCCCAAGAAAAACAACACACAAGCAAAAAAGUAUUUUGUGUGUCCAAAUGUUCUCAGAGUGGCAAAGGAAAGUAUCAGCUAAAUGAGAGUGUGCUGUAAACAACACAACAUGGCUCUGGAAAGUGGAAGCAGCUUACCUGCCUUUUUCCCCGUGAAAGAACACCUGCGCUGUAAGGCUCUGUCACUCUGUAAGACUAUUGAGGGGACAUUAGUGACUGACAUCUGGCACCAGACCUUUGAACACUCUGCAAAAGGGUGAAAGAGAUCAGCAGGAAAACAGUUCCGUCAUCAGUAAAGGAGAUCUUGAAGGAAGCUACUCACCCUGUGGGUAUAUGAGAGGGAGAUAGUCACAGGUGCCAAAUGAAUUCAGGCUUGAAGAAUUGUGUUGGCCAGGACCCAGAUGUGAGCCACAGUCAGUAAAAUGGAGACCUUAAUUCAUGGUUACUCUUCCAGGGUGAGCAAUUCUGGCUGCCUUGGUGCUCAGUGAUGUGUGGGACAGCUGAUAUACACACCACCCUGCAGCUGAGUUGGUUAGGUUUCCUGGAGCCUACCAAUGAACCUUCAGUGCACCAAGCAUAACGUGAUGUUGGCUGUCACGCUCGACAAUUCCCUGUCUGAGGAGUUGCAGAGGCCAGAUAAGGCAUAUACACUGGCUCAGUUCUCAAGCACUGUAUAGGAGAUUACCACAAAAUCACAGUGAUGGAUGUCAGAGAAAAAAAUUUUCCCUCUGGAGUUAAGAAAGAUGCAUUUAGGAAUUGCUUGGACAAGAAAACAGCUUGAAAGUUUACAACAAGGGAAUACUUAUACUAUGUUCCUUACUGAAGCACUGAACUUUGCCUAAGUCAUCUUAAUGGAGAAUAUUUUGGGAUAGUUAAGAGUGCUGCAAAGAGAAUGGACUCAAGUUUAAACUGACGAGUGUCAAAAUGAAAAUAACUUUUAAAUUAAGGUAAAUUUAAAAAAAAAUACCUAACCUCUUCCCACAAGCAGGUGGUUGUUCAGCCAUCCCUAGGGGAGCAAUGCCCUAUCACCUAUCCCACCAUCCUUCUCUUUCCUCAGUUUUAUAUACUGAGCAUAAUGCCAUAUGGUCUGAAACAUCCCCAUGGUCAUUUGGCUAAACUAUCCUGGCUUCCACUCCUCGUGCACCUCCAGCUUCCUCACCAGUGGGAUGGGAUAAGGAGCAAGAAAAGCACUGACUCUGCAUAAGCCCUGAUCAGCAAUAAUUAAAACAUACUUGUUUUAUCAACACUGUUUCCAGCACAAAACCAAAACAUAGCCCCAUCCCAGCUAUUUUGAAGAAAACUAAUUUUAUCCCAGCCAAAACUAGCACACCUACAUGUUUGGUUGUAUUUUACUUACUAAUCUUCUUGGCUUUUUCAGUUUUCUUUACCUAGAUUUGUUUAGUAGAGUUUCUCAGCUCUCAGCCUUGGAAAUCCCUUUUGAAGGUAUGUUUUCACAAUGGUUUAAAUAACCAGAGUUAGAACUGCUGUGAUACCAACCUCAUCUGCUAGGAGAGCCAAAAACUAGCCACUUAACUGUCUGAACUAGGUCACCAUGCAGCUGCACAUGCAGUGAUCCCUGUGCAGUGUGAUAGUAGCAGUAGUUGUUACUUAGAGUGCUUAAAAAUUGCCAAAACAUUGUUUGGAGAUGUUUCUCCACUUUCAUGUGAGAGAAGGACUCUUCUUUCACAUCAGAACUUAUUCAUGUUGCAUCUUUAACCAAUUUCUUCUUUCCCAGAGGUCACAGUAAAGUAUAGAUGACAUUCUUAUCUUAGCAGCAUUUUAUAGUGUAAGUAAAACUGACUACUGGUAUGUACAGCUUUCAGUCUGCAUCAAGAAAGAAGUACACAUAAUGCACAACAUUUUAAGGACAGAUGGACAACGCUUUUUGUCAUUACAGAAAGCUACCACCUGUGGAAAAAUUAUAUUUAAAUAUAAAAUAAAUAACUCUUUCUUUGUGAAGCUGUAUUGCAAGUUUCUGGCACCUCACCAGGGUGUGAGUGAGAAAAUUUAUUGUGCCUAAGCAGUCACUCCACUCUGAGUUGGAUUUUUCUUAUAGACAAGAUAGCUGUACAAGAUAGCUGCACUGUUAUGCAAUGAACAGAAUCCCUUUCAAUGUCUAUGUUUCAGGUUAUUUAUCUUUCUUACACUGGUAGGGCUUCAUGUUUAUCACAGUAACUUAUGAUUAAGAAAAGACUUAGCACUGUUCUAUUCUUAACAUUUAGAAGUUCUGGAUAAAGAAGCUUUUCCUUUUUAAAGUACUAAAGCCUUCAAUACAGUAUCUUGCAGUGAGGCAAGAUAGAUGCAAGAAGUAGCCUAAGAUUUAAUUAUGCACUACAUUAUAUUCUGGUUUCUUUGCUUUUUGUUCUCUUUCUAAACAACUCCUUUACCACACUUAGUACUUUGAUUCUUUUGCUUCUACCCUUCAGGUAGUUAUAAAACAUGUCCUGAAAAGCUCAAAGACCACAACUUGAGAUAUAAUUUCGUAGCAAAGAUUUUCUUUCUCUUGAGUAGCUGUUAAAUGCAGCAGGUAUAGUCUAGUUUUCUUCUUUUUCAUUCAUUUUGUAUCCCUACUCUUAUUCCAUUUAAUCUUACAUUCUCUCUUCUACUAAGAAGCUGUCAAUAGCAAUUUAUGUAAGUAACACAGUCAUUAUCCUGUGACUUGCCUUCUUUCUUGCCGCCUUUAUCUCUCACACCCCUUUUGUUUUUACCAUCCCCAGAAUCCUCUCCUCACUUGGGCCCAACAAACCAGCCAGCUGCAAAAUGCUAAAGACUAGAGAGAUAAGAUUUAGAGGAAAACAACAGGGACAAAAAAAACCAAGUUAUUUUAUAGAAUUAGUUGAAAGAAAAAAUAAAUUGAUUCUGUGCAUUGAGGUCCAGGGGGGGAAAGCUAGUGAAUUUUUUAUCAGUUUAGUCUGUGGGCCACUUUCAGAUUACUCUUGUCAGAAAUCAGUUUAGUUUAGAUCUGCGACUUGCUUAGGUCUUCACAAAUGGUUGAUCAGAAGUGGUUAUUCCAAAAUAAUUUUAUGUAAGGUGCAAAGUCUUGUUAGAUUUAAAUGUCAAUUAUCUGCCAGUACUUAAAGUGCAGGUAGAUUUGUUAACUGCAGUGCACAGAAACUGGAAUUGUGAAAGAAAAAAGAAAGAGUGAGUAGUUUAGAUACAUUGGUUAAGUUUGACCAACGAACCAUACAGGUUUUUUUCAUUAUUUAAUUAUAAAUUUCUUACAUUAUUUAUGUGAUUCCUAAAAAAAAUGUCAGUACAUAAUUUAAAUUAUUUUUAAGUUAAAAAUAACACCUGUGGCUGGUACAAAUGUAUGCAUAAAAUUUCUUAACUAUAUGAAUUUAAUUAAAUUGAACAACAAACUGGUCGCUGGACAAGCAUGACUAAGGCUUCACUUAAAACGGCACAUUGAAAUCAACUAAAGUUUUUACAGAUUGCUACCUUGUCUGAACAUUGUAUCUGUACACAACUGGACCUCUACAGAAACACUGUAUCUCUACACUGACUGAAUAUCUUGCUGAAAGCUGAAAUGAGUAAUAUAAACAAGGACAUGAGUAUGGUUAUAAUUGAGUCUUUAAAGUUAAUACGCAUCAGGACAACUGAGAAAAGUUCACACUUUUCUUCAAAAUACUGUUUUGUUUGGUCUAAGUUAACAGAGAUUUGUUGAAAGCAUUAAUUCUCUCCAAAAGCAUCUGCAGGGUGUAGACCUUAGGUGUCAAAUAAGCGUUAUGUCUAUUACUGUUUCCUUCUCAAUGUUUAGCUAACAAAAGUAAAAAAUGAGUGUAAAAUAUAUUUUUCUUUCUCUUCUUAGAUAUUAACCUAAACAAUCAAAAUAUGUCAGGUUAAUGUUGGUAGGUUUAAUAUGCCAUAACUCUCCUUUAGAGAACUGUUAUACCAUUUCUAGUGCAGACUGCCUUUUUCAGGGUUUACAACAGUUAUACUAUCCAGGUCUUGUUCAUCUGGCAUCUUUCUUGUUUGCUUGUGGUGUACUUUCCUUGUUUGCUUGGUGGUGUACCAUAAACUUCUAGAGGUCUCAUUUAUGAUUUGUCUUCCCAAAUUCACAUGGCUGGCCAGCAGGCCUGGUUUGUAGAGCAUUGAUCAGGUACACUUGGCAGGUAGAAUGUCACAGCAAAAAUUAUACUGGGCAGGUCUGAUGGAAUAUGCACCCUUGCUUAAUGAGUUCCCAUCAUAAGGCACUUGUUGUGCUGCAGGCCCUCCUCUGUGACCAUGUGUUAGCAGGAACCUGUUUUUAAUUUGAUAAGCAUUGUUAUAUAGCCUUAUGCAUAAAAUGCCAAUUCUUUGUAAUGUGUCAUUGUAGCGUUAGUUUUUCUAAUUUACUACAAGUUAAGAAGCAUAAAGUAGCAUAACUAUAUGGUACUAUAUAUAACACCGUAUUUACACCUGGAAAUUUUAUUUGCAUGCCUACUUCAGUCAUGAGAAUCCCCUGCUCACAUUCCAAUCAUACAGAGCCUACAUACAAGUGUUUACAAAUCCACAUGUUCAGAGCUUCCUCUCUGCUACAGGAAGGCCACUCUCAGGCAUCAGUUCUAGCAAACCAACAUAUUUUAUACUAGUAUAUUGGUUACAUUUCACCAAAACCUUGAAAAUUAUGCCCUUUGUACUGGAGUAAUGCAAUUCUCUUACUGGACCAACUGAAAAAAUGUAUUACGUUACACUUGGUGCAAGUUCUAUCAGACUGGUUUUUUCCUUCUGAAUUGUGGCAGUAUAAUGGCUAGGUCAUGUUGGAAGUAAUACUAAUGAGUAGUCUUUUGGUACUUCAGUACUUCUAGGUAUAAAUAAGUUUAUACAGAGUAACAGUUUUCAGUGUCUGAGUCUCUCUCUGAGAAGAGCUAUUAGAAUGUGCAGAAUUCAGCUCAAAGCUAAGAUUUGUUACUUAAUCCUAAUGCUGUUAGGAAAAAUAGAUUAAAGAAUUUGAAGAAAUCAUAUGUGGCCAGUUUAUUCUAGUUACUAAAUGGAGGAUAAGCAGGAGCACUGUCUGAAAGAAGAAUCAUGCUUCUGUACUUAACUAUAUAACAUAUAAAAUAUGAAGGGCUGUUUGGAGAAGACCUGUACUAUAUUGCUGUUUACAACAACCAAUUCUUUGAUAGAGAGAGUGAUCGAAAGCAGUGAUUUUGAAGUGGAGAAGAGUUGCAAAAAUGCAGAAUAUAUUUAUUCCUUCAAAGAGUUUGUACUGUCAUUCAGAAUUUAAUCCUCAAUUGUAUCCUUUUAUUUCUUACUUACUGCAAGAGGCAGUAAGUAAGAAAUAAAAGGAUACAAUAGCACUGGAAGAAAAAAUGGCUACAAAGUGUUAACUGCAUGUACUUUACAGCAAGACACUGAACUCAUAACAGUGUCUCUGUAUCUAUUUUCUCAGAUUGAUUUUUAAACUAAUUACAUAAUUCAUUUACUGCUAAUGUAAAUAAAAGAAGGGCAAUGGGACCUCCGAUUUCUGAGGUCUUGUCUAAGACAAAUCAUUAAUGUAUUAAAAUAUAGAUCUCUGUCUCCAGGUCUUACCAACAAGAUUGGAUAAAAAUUCUGUCUGAAAUUAUUGAUACAAAGCCUUAAUUCUUCAAAAAGAUUAUAGAAAUUAAUGAUUCCACUUAGAAGUAGAGCUGAGAACUCAGUUUAGUAGGAAGAAACACCUUAGAGACAGGGAUUUGUUACUUGAGGCAGAAGAGAGCUAAGUCAACCCUAAAACUUAAAGAAAUGUAAGGGAAAUGCCUUUGCUGUCAGACGAGCAUGUAAGACUACACUGUCCAAUCCUACGGGCAAGGAAGUAUAAGAGGAUUUAUAUCACGUGCUAGAAAAUAUGAAGCUGUGUGUGGGAACAGAAGCAAAAAAGAUGAAGUUCUGUGAGUUCUUGGCAGUUGUGAACUGUAAAGUUAGAUGCUGUAAUAGACUUCCUUAGAACAUGUAAUGAGUAAUAAGAAAUGUGAGUUUUAACAUGUUCUUUUUUGUUUCUGCUACAGUCUGUAAUUUUAAGUGAGCGGGUUAUUUUUGUCCUUAUAGCUUGUCUGUCAAUGAAACCAAAUCCUUUUAUCUGACUUUUCCAUUUCUUCUUUGUGACAAAUUGCACUACAUGUGGUGGGUUGACUUUGGCUGCCUGCUAGACACCCACAGAGCUGCUUUCUCAUUCCUGAACAUCAGCAGGAUGGGGAGAAAUAUAGACUAAAUUCAUGGGUCAAGGCAAAUACAGAGAGAAAACCUACUAAGUUACAUCACAGGUGAAACAGACUGGACAUGGGAGAAACAAUUUAAUUAUUGCCAAUUAAAAUAGAGCUGGAUGGUGGGAAACAAAUACAAAAUAUCUAUACUGCCUUCCCUUCAUCCUCCUUCUUUUUCUCAGGCUCAAUUUCAGUCAUUCAAUCCUGAUUCUUCUCCCUGAGUGGAGCCAGGACACAGGAAAUGGCUGCUGGGAUCAACCCAUAGCAGUUCCUCUCUGCCCCUUUUUCCUUAUCACACUCUUCCAGUACUCCCGGGUGGGUCCUUUCUGUGGGAUACAGUCCUUCAGAAACUGCUUCAACAUAGAUUGUACAUGGCUCCCAGUUCUAUCAAGAUAAAUUUAGCCCAGCAUGGGCUGUAGGGAAAUGGCUUGACAAGUGCCUGGAGCACCUUGUCCCAUCAUUCUCUGGUCUUGGUUUCACAUAUUUCUCAUGCCUCUCUCUCAACUGCUGUGCUGCCUUUUUUACCAUUUCUUAAAUAAGUUUUCUGAGAUGUGCUACCACUUUGACUGCAGAGCUCAGCUCUGCCUUGUGUCCAUUGGAGCUGGCUGCUCCUCAGAGAGGCUGUCCUUACAGUCCACUGCAAUGAUCAUAAUCUUGCAUUGUAGACCCAAUGCAGUAAGAUACCAAGUCACUUUCACCAUAAUGAGAUUUCCAGAAUCUCCAAAUGAUUUUGUGUUUUACCUCCACUUGAGCUGCUUAGUUGCCUUGAGAGCUGGUACUCCAUAAUUCUGAGAGUAAGAAGUUUUUUCUGGUGGCUGACAUUAGCUGGGUAUGCAUCCGAGCAUUCCUGAGCCUCAUAGGAAGUGUGCGGUAUUUGUGCUGGAACUGGAUAAUUCUUCCAAGUACAGGUUGGGAGACAGAAUUCAAAACUAGUCUUUGUCCCAUGGAGGGCCAUGAAUUAUGCUUUCACAAAGACGUGAGUUAUGCAGAAGAGAUUUAACAAUUUUCUCUUUCUUUUCAUCACUCUGACAAAGCAAUUUGCUGAGAUGCUUCUCUCUUUCCUGAGGAAGUCCUUACAAAUUGAUAGUUGUGUGGCAAGACUAAGGGAUAUGAUGACUGGAAGUAAGAACACUGUAUUGCAUUGCAGGAAGUUGUGUUGUUGUAUGCUUGCAUUUAUAUAUAUAAAAUGCAAAAGGUCUUGUAGCAGCAGAAGACAGGAGUUAUGGAGCUGACUGCAAAUACAAGUUGUGCCUCUCCUACUGUAAGGCUGAACACAUGCUUGCUUUUAACAUGAUAUUCAAGAUAACGUAAGUGAACUUAUGUGUUGGGAUACUGACAUAUUUAGAUCCUAGACUUUUCAAAUUACACAUGUGGAAUAACAGGACCUCUUGUUAAAUUUUCAAUGGUAUGGCCUCUUAGGUUGAGAAAGUACAAGCACUGCUGUAAUUCAGAGACAUUUCAUCAACUUAGUAAAUUAUUAUGAAGCAGGAAAAUGCAAUAAUAUUGUUGGUUAAAGAAAAGCAUCACAGAAAAUUAAUACUUGGCAGGACUGUAUUUGGCCAUUCUGUGUUUCUAAAUUGAGAACAUUCAGUGAUAUGGAUACCAAACAUACUUGGUAAAGCAAAGUAUCAUAUAAUUUGAAUGUGGGACUGCGAAGUGACUGCUGGAACCUGGGCUAGCUCUUAGAACUCCGGCGCCAUGCCAGGAGUGGGGAACUGCCUUGGUAUGGGGAUUUACCAGAGGCAGAACUUUUAGAGCCACUUGCUCUAACAUGCCAGACACAAACCACAACAGGGACCAGGCAGAAGACAAAGGAGGAGGCUCUCUGUCUUGAGGUUCCACAAGGAACAGUUUAUUCCAGGUGAAGGGAGCAGGACAAAAAGCCCCUAGCUGUAUUGUGCAAGGGGUUUUGUACGCACACAAGUCAGGGGGUGGACACAAACAGUUUACCAAUAGGGAAUCCUCAGGGGAGGAGUGAGGAGAUUACAUAAAGUAUCCUGGACCAUUUGGGGUAGGAGUGGGGAGGAGGAUGGGUCACAUGGGCCAAUGAGGCUUUGAGGAGUAGGGGAAUUCCAAAGGGGUGUUGCAAACAGGGACUGGCCCCAGGUUUAAGUGGCAGAGAAAGUUCAGGAAUCAAGGGCUGUGUUGCUUUGACAGGCAGGGAAAGAGCUGGAACAAGAGGUGGGGAAUGGCCUGAGGGACAGCUUUGAGGGAGAGUAAAACCCAAGGUAAACCAACUCAGGGAGAACAUGGGGGUACUACAGGAUGAACCACUUAACAAGAAAUCAAUAAAAUAAAUUCGAACUGCAACAGGAUUGUCUUUUAAGAGGCUCUUAGUCAUUUAAAGAAACCAACAACUUAAAAUUCAGAAAGUGUCAACUGACUGUGUCUUAGGUUGGAAAUGGGUGUGUGUAUUCUAUUCCUAUCUGUGGAGCAGUUACCUUCUGUUAAUUGGGAAGUUUUCUUUAUCUCUUCCACAACCAGUCCUCCCUCCAGGGAGAUACCUUUUGUUAAUGAGGCAUUGAGUCUCACUGCAUGACUGAUAAAAUUACAUCAUGCCAUUGUGAGAAGCUCUGCCCAGAAGGAGAAGCCAGGCAUUCCUUCCUGGAUAUAAUCAGAGGUUUGGAAGACCACAGGGAGCUUUUUCCACUGGAUUCCCAGAGGAAGACCAGGCCCAUCUAUAUCACCACUGGAUUUUCAGAGGAAGACUACACCGUUCUACAGGAUCAACUGCUUCAACAGAACAACAUCAGUCAUUCCAGGAUGACUGCAGCCACCAUUUCAACUGAACUGUUACCAACACCCUGACCUACAGGGUGUCAGAUUGUAUUCUGACUCUGUCUGUGUUGUUUUGUAUUACUACAUUUGUUUCAGUUUUUGUUUGGUUCUUUUUUGUUGUUGUUGUUUUGGGGUUUUUUAAAAUAUUUUCUUCCCUAAUAAAAACUGUUAUUCCUGCUCCCAUAUAUUUUCCUGAGAGCCCCCUUAAUUUCAAAAUUAUAACAGUUUGGAGGGAGGGGAUUUACAUUUUCCAUUUCAGUGGAGGCUCCUGCCUUCCUUAGCAAACACCUUUUCAACCAAGACUUUUCAAACCAAGGCAAGUAUAUCUGCAGAUUCUUAAUUUAAGUUUUUAGUUUGAAGUGCAUCUCCAGAUACAUAAAUUAGAAAUCCUACCGCAAAAAUACAUCUGUUUUUAGAAUAUUCACUUAAAAAAGAAAAAAAACUCCCAACCCCCAAAACUUCACUACUGAUGUAACUUGGAUUGGGUUUUUUUUUCAUCGAAGGCAUGAGGAAUACAAUAAUAUGACCAAAUCAAUGAACCGUACCAGGUGUCUUCAUUUCAAAUAAAUCUCUAGUGGUCAGUUAGAUAGUUUUCCUGAUCAGUCCAUGGAAUCAUGAUGAUUCUUGCUAGUAUUGCAAACUUAAUAAAAAUGUUCAAAUUAAAUUACCACCUCGAUUUUAUUGGUCACACAAAAUGGUGCUUUCAUUUUUUGUUGUUGAUCGAAGAUACUUUCAUAUGCCAGAAUUUCUACCACAUCUUUCUAUAAACAGACUUAAAAUACAGAGACUCUGCUUUCCCCUCCCUCAUUCUUUUCAAUGUCAAAACUUAAAGAAAAACUAAACUCAAUUACUGAAUUUGAAAUAGACAAAGUUCUGAGUUUUAAUUAAAGAAAGAAGAAGUCCUAGAUCAAGAUAAAAUGGCAAUUUCUGUUUUAAAAGUCCUGGAAAGACAAGUCUAAUAGUACUUUUAACUUUGCUAAGAAUACCAGACAGGAAAACAUUUUCAUAAUUUUAAAUAGGAAGGGAGCGUAGAAUAGAAAUGAGAGCUAUCUUUAUUUUUUUUUCAUAUGGUUCAUCAGUUUGAUGAAUAAUUUAAAAUCUAUGCUGACAUUAAGGAAGUACAUAGUCAAAGUCAUAAGAAAGCUACUUACUUCAGCUGUACAUUACUAAAUUUUAUUCCUGAGCUCCAAAAAUAAGAGAAAUGCAAAGACUAGUGAGAAAGGGUGCUUCAAGAUAUAGAAUGCCUUUGGUGCAGGGUGCUUUGGUGCAUGCUAUUGCUAUGAAAAAAUUCAGAGCUUCAUUUAUGAAAGUUGGAAGAGAAAUAGUAAUUGUGAAUUGCUUGAGAUCACAGAGCUGUGUGAGACAGUUCUGGCAAUUAAGCAAAAUUUUCCUAAAUAAAGGAAUGGAUUACACUUGAUAAAUGGACAAUAGAAAUAUACCCUUCAAAUAAUGCAAUUGAGGAUUUCUCAUACUGAUUUUUAAAAUAAUGUCUAUUUUAAAACUUUUUCUUUACUGUCACAAUCAUGAAGUAAGUCAAACCUGAAAAAAGUUUCUUUAAAUUCCAAGACAUUAUUUCUUCUGUUGAAAAAUUAAGGUAUGGUUUUGUAACAAAGAAUUUCUUCAGUUUGCCCCUAAAUAACUGUGUCUUAAAGUCAUUCUUCUACUAGCUAAGAAAUAUUUGCUGUUGCAGUGCUGUGGUUUUGAAGGUUUUAUUUGCUUGUUUGUAUUUUAAGUAUUUUUAAAAAUCAGCCCUUCAAAACCAACCUUAGGGGUCCAUGUACAGCUUGUAAAUGAGAGUGACAAUAUGUAUGUCUCUAUCUUUGGUAGAAAAAACCUGGAUUAUAAUAUGAAUAGGUGUUGCUUCCUUCAAUACACACUGAGUAUUUAAUAUCUUUAAGGGAUCUGGGACUUGGAAGUAAUUGUAUUAUCCAAAAUGGAAGAUUGGGAAAGUUGUUUGCAAAUGAUCAUUUUAAUAGUGUUUUGCCCUUUGUAUUUACGAAGCAUAUCUCUACCAAAAAGGAAACAGCAGAUUGUGUAGUUUCUUCAUUACAAGAAUGUAACCUUGGGAAUCAGCCAGCAGAGGAGCAAAGGAUACUUAAGGAAGGGUUAAAAGUAAUCAGAAAAGGUACUAAAUCCAUUGUUUGGCUUCUCCUCUGUCACUUAAAACAUUGGUUUAAUUUUUUUGUCUCUGACCCAGUAGUAGAAUUUGCACAUGCAUUUUUCUUGUGUGGGAACCUAGUAAUUCUACUGUUGGAUCUAAGUUCUGGUAGAUUUUUCUUGUAAGAUUUAAUCUUUUUCAUUCUGAAAUCAGAUUUUAACUUCAUUUUGGGUAAAGAAGGAAAUUCCAAGAGGUUUUUCUUCCAAGAAAAUUCAAUUAGUCAAAGUCAGCACAUGGAAGGAAAACAAGACAGCUAGUGAAUACUGCAGCCUAUGGUUAAAGUGUUGAGGUAAUAUGGUAUAAAAUAAUGAGCAAACUGAAACUUAAAAGACUUCAGCUUUCAGCUGGAGUGUGUAUUUGUGUAAGAAACAGAGAUGAUUACUUUCAUGUCAUUGAGGAUCAUGUUAAAUAAUUGAAUUGAAAAGAAUUGUCAACAUUCUGUGACAUGUUGAGAAAAGCAGUGCUGUAAUUUAAAAUCUUAGGGAAUUGCCUGUUUUAUGCUUAUGUGUAAGUGCUAAGUAAGUAUGUGGUCAUGACUUCUUGAAGUUUCAUUUCCAAGUUAAGUUGCCUCCAUCCAGGUGGUUCCAAUAGCUGUAUCAUGGUUUCUUUGUACUAUAAAUUAUAUUGAGUUCUAAGGUUUGUACUAUGCUGUUGGUCAUUCUUAAGAAGAAAAUUGAAUUAUUAUGGUGGCCAACAUUACCUAGCAAUAAGAAAAUAAAAAUUAAAUAUGCUGCACAGCUGUUCCACUUUGGGAAGCUGUUGGUAAAUUAAGAGUAGUAGCUCUUCACUUAGAAAUUCUGGAUUAUUGUGUAGCUGUUUUGCAAAAGUAUGUAUUCAGUACCUUCUAGUACUUGUGUGUGCCUGAAAACUGAGAGGUAGUUCGUGUGAAUUCCUUGCAUAAGUAAACAUUAGUGAUUUUUGAAAUGAAAUAUUCUUUAGUACAGUAAAUUUUAUUUUAUUAAGAAAUGUCUUUUACUUCUUGAAGUAACCUGUUCUUCAUUGGAAAUUCUACUUGGGAACUAAUUUAAUGUAAGUAGUUUCUCUGUGUUUUUAAACUGUUUUUUUCCAAGUAUGUAACUACAGCCUUUCACAGUCAGUUUACAAUUGGUAGUAGCUGUUUUAGUAGUAUUAGUAAUUUUAAUUUGUCUGAAAUAGUAGUUUUUCAUAACACAUACUAAAAUUCAGGGGGAAAUCCCCCACAUUAUUAACAAUUUUGUUAUGAAACAAGCUCUGGAAAACUGUAAGUGGAACAAUCAGCAUUUGUAAAAACUAGAAUUGUGGAUAUUCUCCAAUGACAGUGUAACUUUUAUUCAUUAUUAAACUGAUCUAGUUCUGUAAUGUUGGAACUGUUUAUACUAGUAAAGUAUCUGCCCUAUUUUAGUUUAUAAUUCAUAAUAAUAAUAAUGGGAAUGGUUUUUGUAAUAAUUUUUACAUCUGUGUUUUAACAUUGAUGAGUUACAGUGCAAGAUACACUGGCACUUGAACUUUAAUUCAGACUAUAUUAAGAAAACCCAUUAUCUAAUAUGUUUUUGUGUUUAUAUUCUGGAACUUGGUGAAAUUUGGUACAAUUUGAUAGUGUGCAAUAGAAGGAGCAUCAAUGAAAAUUCCAGCUAGACCCAACAGAAUUAUUCAAUUGAAUCUUCAGUAUAGUUUUUAAGUUUAGCUAGAUUUACAUAUCUUUGUAUUUCUUUGAUCAGAACUGAUAGUCCUGGAGUAGUCAUAGUUGAGCUGUAAUAACUCACAUGAUGAUAUUCUGCACGAGGUAUUUAUUAAACUGGUAUGUGGGUCCACUAGUUCCAAACCACUGCUGUUGACUUGUCUUUAGAUUUUACUGUGUUUAUUGUUUUGGGGUUGGUUUUUUUCCUAGAUUGUUAAGGGUAACUUAAGAUUAACUCAAAAACUGGAAGAUCUUACUGCUUUCUAGAAGGAUGAAGUCUACAGAUAACUGAGAAAUAUUAAAGCAAAAUGACUAAACUAAAAAUUGAGACCUUUAUCUUUCAUCUCUCAUUGCUGAUCUUUUUGAUAUCUAAUACAACAACAUGGAUACUAGAAAAGGACAAAGAAAUGUCUAGUCGGAUCACUAACUGGAAAAUUAUUUGAUUUUUAAAAAAUGCAGAUCUCUUGUCACUGAGAACAUAAUGGUGAGUCAAUUUUGGCAUAAGUAUUUUACUAACUCUAUCCUUCAGAGUGUUGUCAUGCUCUUUGUUGAUUGAAUGAACAGCUCUGGCAAAUUACUGCUUAAGCAGGGUGAAUUGAUUAUAGUGAAGAAUGAUAAAAUGCAUUAGGACCGUACAAAAAUUAAACAUUAAUUAUCUGUAGAGAAUCUCAGUAUGCUUAAUGUUCUUUACAAGGUCUGAAGUAAGGGAGGGAGUUUCAUUAUAAUAUUUUGAAACAUGAGUUGUUACAUAAACCUGUGUGGAAAAAAGGAUUUUGUUAGAAGCAGAUAUCAAUCAUUCUAAUAGAAUGUAAGAUAUGUCACUGGUUUUUGCGUCAUAAAUUUUAAAUCAGUGAUAGUGAAAGGUGUUACUUAUGGAGAAACAUAUAGUUACCAAUAGUAGUAACCCGGUAAGAAAAUCUUAUAAAAAAGGUAUUCUUGAAAACUAGAGGAUUAGGCAGUCACCAAUAUUAUGAAGUUUAACAAGGACAGAUGCUGGGCCAGGGCAACCAUGGCUGUGUGUAUACACUGGGGAAUGAUGUGCUGGACAGUAGUGCCUUGGAAAGGGACAUGGGGUUCUUUGUUGAAGGCAAUUUGAAUAUGAGUCAGCAGUGUCUUGGCAGCCCAAACAGCCAACCAUAGCCUGCCCCAGCAUUGCCAGCUGCACAAGGGAGGGGAUUGUCCCACUCUGCUCUGCAGUAGGGCAGCCUCACCUUGAGCACUGGGGGUAGUUUUGGGCACCGCAGUAUAAGAAAGACAUGGAACUAUUUGAGAGCAUCCAAAGGAGGGUCAUGAGGAUGAUGAAGGGUCUGGAGAGGAAGCCCUACAGCUAAGGUCACUUGAUCUGACUGAGGAGACACCUCAUCAGAGUUUACAACUUCCUUGUGAGGCAAAGAGGAGGAACAGACACUGAUCUCUUCUCCGUGGUGAGAGGACUCGAGUAAUGGCAUGAAGUUGGGUCACGGAAGGUUCUGGCUGGAUAUCAGGAAAAUGUUUUUAACCCACAGGAUGGUUGGGCAGUGGAGCAAGAUCCCCAGGGGAAUCAUCACAACACAGAGCCUGAAAUAGUUCAAGAAGUGUUUGGACAAUGCUCUCAGGCCCAUAGUGUGAUUCUUGGGAUGUCCUGCGCAGGCCCCGGAGUUGGACUCAAUGAUCAAUGAUAGGUCCCUUCCAAGUAAGCAUAUUAUGUGAUUCUAUGAUACUAUUCGCUAAAAUCUCUAAAAUAAGGAGUCAAAACUUCAACUCAUUCUUUUACUGAAGUAUAAAGACCCACAAAAUUGCUGCUACUCUUACCAAAACUGAAUUUGUUAGUCAAAAAUUUUAUUUUCAUUUUAAUAGAAUAAAAGAUGGGGAAAAUUAUUUUCUGUAUAAUUAAUUUAUUCAUGCCAAGAAAAUGUGAGGAGGCUACAUACAAAUUUGACCUAAAGAGUAAAUACAUUUUCUACAUCAACCCCCCACAUUCGUCUUCCUCUUGUAUGAAAAUUCUGCAAGGUGAUCCAUGGACUGAAUAGGCACAAUGAUUAAAGAGAUACUUCUUGCUUUUUGUUUUAAGAAAAAAUUACAUGUUGAAAUAAGAACAGUUAAAUAAUGAACAAGAGAGAGAAAAAAGAGCAAGUAUUGUCAUGGCAGUGACUUGCUGUCUCCAAACAGUAUGUCAGUGCCCAGCUUGUGUCUGAGGAUUGGCUACUUUGGAAAGACUACACCCUCAGAUCUGAUGCUGAGCAUGUCAUUGUAUGGCAUAUGGCAUUUCCAUUUGUUCAGUUGGGGUCACCUGUCUUGGCCACUGCUUCUCCCAGGCUCUUGCUCACCCUUGGCCUGCUUGCUGCAAGGACAGAGUGACAAACAGAGAGGGCCUGGACUGUGCCAGCCCAGUUCAAUAACCAAAACAUUUUGGUCACAGAUGCAGAGUGUAGCAUCAUACAGGCUGCUAUGAGGAAACAUAAUUAUCACAAUCAGGGGCAAUACAAGUAUACAGAUGCUAAUGCAUAACUCUGUUACUAUGGUGCAAAUUAUUAUUAGGCAGUCUUUAUUUGCUUAGCUGCUACUUCCUCCUUCUGUACUUAGAGAGCUUUAUUAGAUCUAUAAUGGGCUUUCAAGCACAGUUCUGUUAUGCAAAGUAAGGUUUGAACCCCUUUAGGGUUCACUGACAGAGCUUCCUUAAAAAGUAUCCCCAGGUGCAUUAUGUUUGCACCCAGACUUGGACAGUGCAGAGGUGGAUGGUGAAGGGGACAAGGGUGUUGGGCUUUGGAGAGAUAUUAUGGACAAGGAAACUGUGUCAUUAACAGACUGCUGAGAAAAUUAAUUCGUCUACGAGGAACUUGAGAAGGGCUUAUAAGAAUGCUGCAACUUGUUGUAAACUCUCAGAUGAUGAACUGUUCACAAGUUGGCCCAUUUAAGUAAAGGUGUGAGAACAGAUUUGAGAACUUGACUAUAUUUUCUUCAGAGACAGAAUGACAAGGAUAGGUUUUCCUGCUGUGUCUACAAAAGAGUUCAAUACAAGUAAAUUAAUUUUACAGGAAAUGGAAAACUUUGAGAAGAGUAUUAAUUUACACUUGCUGCUUAGCAGUGUGAAAAAGUUGUUGAUUGCAGUAUACAAAAGAAGAAAGUUGAAAACUAAAAUCAAGUUAGAGUUUGAUCAUAAACUUGCAACAAAAGAAGCCUAUUCUGACAGCUAGAACAAUUGCUGUGUCAUUGAUGACAAGCUGCUGUUCUCAGAGGUGCCCAGCUGAAAGUCCUAUAUCAACUGAUCUGCUCUGUCACUUUAAUAUGGCAUGACUUCAACCACUUAUAUUUUUAGCACCUAAGCUGCCCAGCCCUACAGUUCUUCUUUGCCCUUUUGAAUGGUCACACUCCUUGACAACUGGUAUUUUUAAGUGUGUAAAACUAUGCAGAAUUUGCACUCUGAGAUGAUGCCAAAUGAGUCACACAAGUAGAUUAACUAGGGCAUGCAAAGCAGAGAGGGAGAAAUGAGAGCAUAAGAAGAGAGUACACAAGAAGAGAGUACAAUCUACUUUUUUUCUGCAACAGGGCUAACACCGUAGAAAUCAAAAUUAACACAAAUUAUCCUAGGAGUAACUCUUGCAAAAGACAAAGACUUCUUUUGGUGUUCAAAGGCCUGGAAUAUUUAGCUUUCGAAUAUCCACUCAGUCACAAAUGUAACUGCAGGAGUGAGCCACCAUUCUUAACAAUUUAGCUGUAUAACCUUUUGUGGGGGUCUAUCUUUGUCACACACAUCACAUUUUGUAAGAGAAGAGGCACUGUUGAAUGGCUUCAGUGAAAAAAAUUAAAUGUACUCUGAAUAGAAUUAAGAUCCAAAGAAGCAAGUAUUUCUAGAAAGCCUGAAAUAUUGCCAGCAAUGUGAUCCCUUCUAAGAGGUUUACUUAAGGUACCAAAUUCUCCCUGCAAAUACUGGCAGAUUAGUCAGAGGAGAAAAAUGACCUUUUUAAAUGGUCCUUUGGGAAGACAGGGCUUGCAGGGAAUUUUGUAGUUGCUGGUCUAUUGCCUACGUUCCAGGAAAGAGUAUUAAAUACUGAAAUGACCUAUAGAAGAUGAGGAAAUAUGCUAAGCUUUCUAAUAAAGAUGGGCUGAAAAAAAUACCAUUAAUAUUCUCAGAGAAUAUAACAAUAUAGCAUACUUUUUGAAAGCUACAUUUCACUGCUUGCUCUGAAAACAGGCUGAAAAAUGGUGUGAAGCCAUCAACUUUUUAAAUGAUUGAUUUUUAAGGUGAUUUCAUAUGUAAUAAAAAUGUUAAAUUUUUCUUACCACUUUCAUUCAAUUAAAUAGUGCUGCAAUGAUGCAAUCUGAUAGAUUUAUGAAAAAGAAUUAUAUUCUGCAAGAUAUGAUUUUGGUUAUAAAAUUAAUGAGGGCUAAAAAAAUCUUCACCUUUAAAUGAAACAAUCAUUUAUGGGUGUACUACUGAAAUGCAUUUAUGCAAAUGCAAAAGACAGAUAUUUUGACCAGAAUAUUUCUUGGAAUAUUUAUAUCUCUCCAGCAGACACUUAAAUAGCAGUUUUUAGAUAGUGGAUUCUCUGCAAAGCCCUGCUAAGAACUAACAAAAAGUUCUCCCUAUUUUUAACCCUGUGUCCAGCUCAAAUUAAAACACAGCCCAGACCUACUUCAGCUGAAACCAGCAUAAGAAAUUGUCGUGCUUUUCAAAGAUGCAAGAAUGUUUGGAGUCAUAGAAACUCAGGAGACAGUAAAAAACUGUCUCACAGUAGAUCUUGCGGGUGUAAACAUAUCUGCCAUCCAUUAGUGCCCCUAAGGCUGAAACAACCCACCACAACAAAAAAAUUGUAUAGCACCACCUCUCC
Molecule: long non-coding RNA, 17947 nt
Organism: Passer domesticus (house sparrow)
Lineage: Eukaryota; Metazoa; Chordata; Aves; Passeriformes; Passeridae
Exons: 3
Source: RefSeq, a predicted model, not a curated record